RNAcentral lists this ribosomal RNA (402 nucleotides) under uncultured bacterium. RNAcentral's name for it is "bacterial SSU rRNA". It matches the Rfam family "Bacterial small subunit ribosomal RNA", at positions 355 to 774 of the family's 1533-position model. The record is from RNAcentral.
UGGGGAAUAUUGGACAAUGGGGGCAACCCUGAUGCAGCGACGCCGCGUGAGCGAUGAAGCCCUUCGGGGCGUAAAGCUCUUUCGACCGGAACGAUAAUGACGGUACCGGGAGAAGAAGCUGCGGCUAACUACGUGCCAGCAGCCGCGGUAAUACGUAGGCAGCAAGCGUUGUUCGGAGUUACUGGGCGUAAAGAGUGCGUAGGCGGUUUUCUAAGUUCGGUGUGAAAUCUCCCGGCUUAACUGGGAGGGUGCGCCGAAGACUGGGAAGCUGGAGUGUGGGAAAGGCAGGCGGAAUUCCUGGUGUAGCGGUGAAAUGCGUAGAUAUCAGGAGGAACACCGGCGGUGUAGACGGCUUGCUAAACCAUAACUGACGCUGAGGCACGAAAGCGUGGGUAGCAAACA